Molecule: long non-coding RNA, 441 nt
Filed under: Brassica napus (rape)
Lineage: Eukaryota; Viridiplantae; Streptophyta; Magnoliopsida; Brassicales; Brassicaceae
Description: long non-coding RNA (BNAP_LNC012844)
Source: RNAcentral
ACAAAUAUAGCCUAUAAGAAUAAAAAUGACCAAAAUAGCACUUAAUGUUUUAUCAAAAGAGAUAAAUAUACACUUAUACUCCAAUGGUAAAUUAAUUUAGACAUUAGGGUUUAGAGUUAAGGGGUGGGGUUUAGGAUUUAGGGUUUAGGGUUUAGGGUUUAGAGUUUAGAGUUUAGGGGUGGGGUUUAGGGUUUAGGGUUUACAGUUAAGGGGUGAGGUUUAGGAUUUAGGGUUUAGGGUUUAGGAUUUAGAGUUUAGGAUUUAGGGUUUAGGUUUUAGGGUUUAGAGUUGGGGAGUGGGGUUUUGGGAUAAGAUUUUAAAUUUUGAAAAAUAAAAUAAAAUUAAAUUUUUCAAAAGAUAAAAUGAUGUUAUUUUGGUCAUUUUAGUUUUUGAGGGCUAUUUUUGUGACAUAAACUUAAAAAUGUGCUAUUUUGGAGAUUU